GCUUGAGUGGCGGAAUAGGUAGACGCGCAGGACUUAAAAUCCUGUGGUAGCAAUACCGUGUGGGUUCGAUUCCCACCUUAAGCACCA
This 87-nucleotide transfer RNA is filed under the name Bacilli bacterium. Its description in RNAcentral is "tRNA-Leu". It matches the Rfam family "tRNA". Rfam says of the family: Transfer RNA (tRNA) molecules are approximately 80 nucleotides in length. Their secondary structure includes four short double-helical elements and three loops (D, anti-codon, and T loops). Further hydrogen bonds mediate the characteristic L-shaped molecular structure. tRNAs have two regions of fundamental functional importance: the anti-codon, which is responsible for specific mRNA codon recognition, and the 3' end, to which the tRNAs corresponding amino acid is attached (by aminoacyl-tRNA synthetases). tRNAs cope with the degeneracy of the genetic code in two manners: having more than one tRNA (with a specific anti-codon) for a particular amino acid; and 'wobble' base-pairing, i.e. permitting non-standard base-pairing at the 3rd anti-codon position. Lineage: Bacteria; Bacillati; Bacillota; Bacilli. The record is from RNAcentral.